UACAGAGGGUGCAAGCGUUAAUCGGAAUUACUGGGCGUAAAGCGUGCGUAGAUGGUUACGUAAGUCGGAUGUGAAAGCCCCGGGCUCAACCUGGGAAUUGCAUUCGAGACUGCAUAGCUAGGAUGCGGAAGAGGGAAGCGGAAUUUCCGGUGUAGCGGUGAAAUGCGUAGAUAUCGGAAGGAACACCAGUGGCGAAAGCGGCUUCCUGGUCCAGCAUCGACGUUCAGGCACGAAAGCGUGGGGAGCAAACAGG
RNAcentral lists this ribosomal RNA (253 nucleotides) under uncultured bacterium. RNAcentral describes it as "partial 16S ribosomal RNA". It matches the Rfam family "Bacterial small subunit ribosomal RNA", at positions 524 to 776 of the family's 1533-position model. The record is from RNAcentral.